UUUGGGAAAAAAAAAAAAAGUCCAGCACCGAAGAGCUCAGAGUGUAGGGCAUGCGCACUGCCGGCGCCACCAAAACGCGCAGGCGCCGUGAGCUGCGCGCCUGCAAGGGGCAAUUUGGGAUCUCUGGUGUGCAGCAAGGGCUGGUGCUCGGAGGGCCCUUGUUGGGGUCUUGAAUAGGGUGGGUCCAAUAAAGAGAGUCUGUAGUCGGGUAGGUGUAGUGUACUUGUUCUGACAUCUACAGGACCAACCCCAGACCUGGAGAUCUCCGGAGUGGAUCGCAGCACCCUCCCACCCCACACUCCCCGCGAAUCGCGAGGCGCUUCUGGGGCUGAGGGGCAGCGAGAGCAGGGCACUAGUACUGGAUGCGGGUUAUUUUUUUAUCCUCUGCAUUCUGACAGUAGAGGGUGGGAGAUAGGGGUUUGAAGAGGACUGCUGAGCAGUGUUGGGCCAAGGAAGCUUUGGCAUUUGAAUGCUAUAGCUUAGCCCAAGUCAGGCCCAGACCUCAUUCCUUCUGGUCGCAGAAGUCAGGUGCCUAGCUUUGGGCUCAGUGACAGAAGUCUGAAGGUCCUGGAGAUCAGAGUGUUUAAGCACAGAAAUUUGAGAUUGAGAAUGAAUUUUACAGUUGCUGUGUGUAGUCAGAAGAUGAUUGCAUCUUUUUACACCUGUUUUUGACCAUCACAUUUCAAAAACUGUAAAGUACCUUGGAAGAAAAUUGGAAGACUCCAAGUCUUGAACAUGAAGAAAUGACUACAUCAAAAAAAGCAAAACUGAAAACAGAGAGUGGAAGAUCAUUCCAACAGGCCUGGACAGAGUUUUUUGGAGCGAUUGAACGCAAUGGGAAAGUGUUCUGUGUUCUGUGUGGUGAAAGUAUUGUGUGUCGCACAUCAAGUGUUAGACGGCACUUUGACACCAACCACAAAAGUGUUGCUCAACUUGGGGAAACUGAAAGGAAAGAGUUUCUAGAAGGAAAAUUGAGGAAAUGUCAUUCCCAAUAUCUUAUUUAUUGCAACUAUCUUUCUAAAACAAAUCAUCUGACUGCUGCCAGCUUUCAAAUUUUACUGUGCAUAGCAAAAUACGGUAAGCCCCUCUCUGAUGGAGAUUUUAUUAAAAUGGCCAUGUUGUCUGGGAGUGAGUCCCUUUUUCAUGAUUUCCUAAACAAGGAUAAAAUUAUGCAACACAUCUCUGAGAUGCCACUUAGCAGAAAUAAAAGAUCGAGUCCUGCACAUGGCAAAUGAUGUUAGUCAGCAGCUCACCACUGAUUUACAAAAGGCAGCCUGUUACUCCAUGUGCUUGUAUGAAAGCACAGAUAUAAAUAAUCAUGCAAAACUAGCAGUAAUUUUGCGUUAUGCAGUUGGUGACAUUGUGAGAGAAGAGCUGGUGAAGCUGGUCUCUUUGCCUGGAAGAACAGAAGGGGUAGAUAUCUACAGUGUGUAAUGGAGGCUUUUUUGUCACAAGACAUAAGACCAGAAAACGUGGUUUCAAUUACUAGUGACGGGGCACCUCACAUGGUUGGGGAAACAUCUGGUUUCAUACAGUUUUUUAUUAAAGAAGCAAAACAUCCAAUCAUUCAGUUUCAUUGUAUUAUACAUCAAGAAGCUCUUUGUACCAGGGAAAGCCGCAAAAAAUUAGAUGAUAUCCUCAAAGAUGGUGAAUUAUAUCAUGGCUCAUGCUCGUAAUUUUCGACAGUUCCAAGCACUGCUUGAUGAGGUUCAGGCACAGUACAGUGCUUUACUCAUGUCCAGUCAUGUCUGGUGGCUGAGCAGAGGACAAGUCCUGGAGAGAUUUGUAGCCUGUUUGGAUAAAAUCAGGCUGUUUAUGAGGGAAAAAGGGCAUGACCACACACAGCUCACUGAUGUGACCUAGCUUACUAACCUCAUGUUUUUUUUUACAGAUUUUAUACUACAUUUCAAUGUACUGAACAAAAAAACUACAAAGUGUAGGGAAAACAGCUGAAAGAAUGUUUUAUGAUAUUAAAACAUUUGAGAAAAAACUGCAGGUUUUUGAGAGAGACCUUGAAAGUGGGCAGCUGAAAUAUUUUCUAAAUCUAAAAAUACAUUUAGAAAAUUCUACAACUUUUACAGACAAUCCUACAGGCCAACAGGAAAUCUAUAAGGAAUUUUCUAGCAUUGUGGCAACUGCAAAGGCAAAUUUUAGUAACAGAUUUUUACAGUUCCAUAGGGUGGAGGCAACCCUGUGUUUUCUUACUUCUCCAGAUAAAGUCAAAUUUGAAGAACUUGACCUUUCCUGCUUAUACUGGUUAGAUUUUGGAAAUCUGGAAAUGGAGCUAUUGGAAUUUCAGGAAAGCUCUAUCUGGAAAAAUAAAUUCUAUGACCUGCAUGCAACACUUGAGAAGAUAGAGAUGGUAGAGUGUGAAGGGGUGGCAAAGGACGGAACAGUUGGUAGUUCUGAAAAUGAAAUCCUUAAAGUGUGGAAUUCUCUGCCAAAUAAUUUUAAGUCCAUGAAAGCAGUUGGGAUUGCUUUUCUUACUUUGUUUGGAUCAUCUUAUACUUGUGAGCAGCUGUUUUCAGCUUUGAAUUGUAUCAAAUCUGACACAAGAAAACAGACAGAUGAUGUGAGUGCUGCAUGUGUUGCUCUCAAACUAACGAAGUAUGAGCCAAGGUUUGACAGAUUAUCAGCAUGCAUACAGCAGCAAAGAUCACAUUAAUUGUGAAGCAGCUUGCCAAAUCCAAGCUUUUGCCUUCCAAUAAACAGCUGUAUCUUGAAAA
This is a long non-coding RNA of Cavia porcellus (domestic guinea pig), 2726 nucleotides long. RefSeq lists it as uncharacterized. The transcript is spliced from 2 exons. The record is from RefSeq and is a predicted model, not a curated record. Lineage: Eukaryota; Metazoa; Chordata; Mammalia; Rodentia; Caviidae.